AGAGUUUGAUCCUGGCUCAGAUUGAACGCUGGCGGCAUGCUUUACACAUGCAAGUCGAACGGCAGCACGGGGGCAACCCUGGUGGCGAGUGGCGAACGGGUGAGUAACACAUCGGAACGUGUCCAGUUGUGGGGGAUAACCCAUCGAAAGGUGGGCUAAUACCGCAUGAUCUGGCAACAGCAAAGCAGGGGACCGUAAGGCCUUGUGCGAUUGGAGCGGCCGAUGUCCGAUUAGCUAGUUGGUGGGGUAAAGGCCCACCAAGGCGACGAUCGGUAGCUGGUCUGAGAGGAUGAUCAGCCACACUGGGACUGAGACACGGCCCAGACUCCUACGGGAGGCAGCAGUGGGGAAUUUUGGACAAUGGGGGCAACCCUGAUCCAGCCAUGCCGCGUGAGUGAAGAAGGCCUUCGGGUUGUAAAGCUCUUUCGGUGGGAACGAAACGGUUACAGCUAACACCUGUGACUAAUGACGGUACUCACAGAAGAAGCACCGGCUAACUACGUGCCAGCAGCCGCGGUA
RNAcentral lists this ribosomal RNA (519 nucleotides) under uncultured Pseudomonadota bacterium. RNAcentral describes it as "bacterial SSU rRNA". It matches the Rfam family "Bacterial small subunit ribosomal RNA", at positions 8 to 522 of the family's 1533-position model. The record is from RNAcentral. Lineage: Bacteria; Pseudomonadati; Pseudomonadota.